This is a long non-coding RNA of Leucoraja erinaceus (little skate), 2346 nucleotides long. RefSeq lists it as uncharacterized. Lineage: Eukaryota; Metazoa; Chordata; Chondrichthyes; Rajiformes; Rajidae. The transcript is spliced from 3 exons. The record is from RefSeq and is a predicted model, not a curated record.
CAGUAAUGCAGCCGCCCUGCAAUGGAGCAGCUCCCUGCAAUGGAGUUGCUAUUACAAUGGAGCUGCUGCUGUUGCAGUGUGGUGAAGCUUCUCCAGUGGAGCAUCUCCCGCAGCAGCAGGAACAGUUCAAGCCUCCACCAUCUCCUCAGGCAGCGUGCCCCAGAUUGCAUCCACCCUCUGGAUUUUCAGCAUCUGCGAUUCUUUACUUUACACAUUUAUUUUUUGUGACCUGCCAACAAUGGAUCAAAGGAAAUCAGAUGCGUGAUGUCGUAAUCUACUGGGAUUCAAGUAAUUAACUGUGGAAGUCAGAGCACCAGUUGUGACUUUGAGGCGUGGUGUUGUGUUGGAAGCACACAUAUGGCCUGGGACAGAACACUUGCAUUAGAUGCAUAAAGAAGUUGCUAUGGAGACGGUGCAGGACAUUCCCCCCGGCUACGGCAGGGUUCCCUUCCUGGGAACCGUUCCCAAACGGAACAUGCGGCCGUGAACAGAGUUCCCACACGGCAGAAGAUGCCUGACGCCCAGCAGCAGCCGGUAAAUCCAUCCCACAUCUCCCAGACACUCGCUCAUGUGUACGGGCUGUACUUUAAUGUGUCCGUAAGCUGGGGAUGACCUACACCUCGGGGUCUGGACAACCAUUAAGGAGAAUACAACAAAGAAAUAAUGACAGAAAAUGCUUGAAAUACUCAUCCAGUCGGGCAGCAUCUUGUGGAGAAAGAAACAGUUCAUGUUUCACGCUCAUGUAGAAACAGACCCUUCGGCCCAACUUGUCCAUGCUGACCAAGAUGCCUCCUCUAAGCUGAUCCUAUUUGCCCAUAUUUCACCCAUAGCCCUCUGACCUUUCUUAUCCAUGUACAAAUGUCUUCGGAAAAAUGUAUUUUCAGAUCAAUGACCUUCAUCGGAACUGGCUGCAGUCACAUGAUGUGGCCAGUUCUGAUACAAACUGCAAAGGCUGGUUAUCUGAAAUUGCCCAUAUUGAUGACGACCUCAAGGAUUGCACCACACCCAGACGUGGUGCUGCUCCACAAGAUUUUGUCGACUUUGUUGGAACAAUGAGAAUGGUUACAUUUGGGGGCGGCACGAUGGCGCAGCGAUAGAGUUGCUGCCUUACAGCGCCAGAGACCCGGUUUGAUCCUGACUACGGGUUCUAUCUGUACGGAGCUUGUACGUUCUCCCCGUGACCUGCAUGGAUUUUCUCCGAGGUCUUUGGUUUCCUCCCACACACCAAAGACGUACAGGUUUACUGUAAAUUGUCCCUAGUGUGUGUAGGAUAGUGUUAAUGUGCGGGAAUUAUUGGUCGCAGCGGACUCGAUAGGCCAACUGCCUGUUUCCGCGCUGUAUCUCUAAACUAAACUAAACAAUGCAGAUGAACUAAUAUUUUAAUAUGCAAUAGCCUGGAAAAUCUGCCAUUCAGUAACAAAUUCCCAAGUGCACCAGAUUUAUGAGUAUGUGUGCACUGUGAGAACUAGUGUGUAUCCAAUGGUAUUUCUGGAGGACCCCUGAAUAUGUGAAGCUCUUCCCACAGUCAGAACAUUUGUGUGGCCUCUCUCCGGUUUGGAUCGACAGGUGUCGGUGAAGGCUCCCUGCCCACGUGAAACACUUCCCACAUUCGACACAUUCAUGCCAUCUCCCCUUUCUCGUUCUUGUUGAUCACCAGAUUUUCCAAUUCCACUCCUUCCUUCAGAUGGUGUGAACGGACUCUGCCCACGUUUACAUUGUGAAUCUGGGUUAUCCAGCUGACAUUGGUCUGGGUGCUUUAGGAUGCCUUCUUAAAUGCCGUGUAAGGAACUCUGCCGUGGUAAAUGCAACAGUGCACUGAGGGCAGGGAUGACAGUCUCCUUGGGUCAUUCCUGACUUGUGGCAACAAAAAAGUUGAUUUAUCAAUCGUCUUGUUGAUGAACUGAGUGCGACAACCAGUCUGCAUCACAACAGGACCGAUCCCGCACCGUCAGAAUAUCCAAGUGGGGGCAGUUUAUCCCAGUCAGAAGAUGCAGUCUGUUUCUGUGUCUGUAUCUUGACGUCACGGGUUGUCGCAUAUAUGAGGUGGGUCAUGUGCAAAGUCGCAAUUAAAUAUUAAAGUGGGCCUUGGAAGUCAGCAUCUUAAUAUUGAUUGUUUCUAGCAUGGUCUUGAAAGUCUUGAUGUCGGGUGCAGUGCGAAUGUCAUGGUGGAGAUGAUUAUAUUUGUGAAUUGUCUUUGGGUGCAGUUAAUACCUAUAACAGUCUUUAUUUGUUGGGAUGAUGUUUUAUUUGAUAACCCCCGAUUGCCAGGUCUUUGGUUGACUGGAUGAAUUUGUCGAUUGAUGAUGACUCUUGAUGUUGCUUGGAAUAAACCCGUGCAUUUCAUUA